Molecule: ribosomal RNA, 491 nt
Filed under: uncultured bacterium
Lineage: Bacteria
Description: partial 16S ribosomal RNA
Rfam family: Bacterial small subunit ribosomal RNA
Source: RNAcentral
AGUGAACGCUGGCGGUAGGCCUAACACACGCAAGUCGAACGGCAGCACAGUAAGAGCUUGCUCUUACGGGUGGCGAGUGGCGGACGGGUGAGGAAUACAUCGGAAUCUACUUUUUCGUGGGGGAUAACGUAGGGAAACUUACGCUAAUACCGCAUACGACCUACGGGUGAAAGCAGGGGAUCUUCGGACCUUGCGCGAUUGAAUGAGCCGAUGUCGGAUUAGCUAGUUGGCGGGGUAAAGGCCCACCAAGGCGACGAUCCGUAGCUGGUCUGAGAGGAUGAUCAGCCACACUGGAACUGAGACACGGUCCAGACUCCUACGGGAGGCAGCAGUGGGGAAUAUUGGACAAUGGGCGCAAGCCUGAUCCAGCCAUACCGCGUGGGUGAAGAAGGCCUUCGGGCUGUAAAGCCCUUUUGUUGGGAAAGAAAAGCAGCAGGUUAAUACCCCGCUGUUCUGACGGUACCCAAAGAAUAAGCACCGGCUAACUUCGU